This 173-nucleotide unclassified non-coding RNA is filed under the name fungal sp. RNAcentral describes it as "partial internal transcribed spacer region". The record is from RNAcentral. Lineage: Eukaryota; Fungi.
GCGGUGGACGUUCUGGAGGAUCAGCGGGAAGGACCGCUCGCCGAGAUAGCGCUUGCGCGGCUCGCCCACCGUGCAGGACGGCGGAUCAGCCCAGAAGGCUUUGUAGUAGGCGCCCCGGUAGUAAUAGCAGGUGAGGCGAAAGCCGCCCGGUGCCCAGAGGAUGAAGAACGCAG